RNAcentral lists this unclassified non-coding RNA (305 nucleotides) under Hevea brasiliensis (rubber tree). The record is from RNAcentral. Lineage: Eukaryota; Viridiplantae; Streptophyta; Magnoliopsida; Malpighiales; Euphorbiaceae.
AUUGUGCUUUUCUCUUCUGAAAAGAAUCUCUUGCUUUCGCAGCUAGCAUUGCUCCCAUAUCUCCCGUAGCCUCUCUCCUUUACAUGAUUCAAUAGAAACCCAUUGCUAAUCAAUUAUGGAAGUAGAAAUACAAUCACAUACUACCAGCACAGCCCUUAUACAAGAUAAGCUAACCCAAAACCGAGAACCCACUACGCAAACCCCACCAAAUAUGCCUCAAGAACUCCCUAUCACCACCAUCAAAUUACCAAAGAAGCUUACUCUCGUCCCUCUCAUAUUCUUAAUCUAUUUUGAAGUCGCUGGUG